Long non-coding RNA from Leopardus geoffroyi (Geoffroy's cat), 1440 nucleotides. RefSeq lists it as uncharacterized. The record is from RefSeq and is a predicted model, not a curated record. The transcript has 2 exons. Lineage: Eukaryota; Metazoa; Chordata; Mammalia; Carnivora; Felidae.
UUUUUGGGGGUGGUAAGAUCCAAGCAGGGUUACCUCAUAAUAGCAAUUCUGACUAACAAUCAGAAGCAACAAUUAUUUCUUCAAAUUUAUGAACAUUUACAAGUAAAUUUUUGCAAAGGCAUCAUUUGGACCCAGUUACCCAUAAAAUGCACACACCCACAUUACUGGUCUAUUGACACAGGCCAUCAAAUAGGCACACAACACUGAUGGAAAAAAUCCCAUUCUAGCUGUCAGGAUGGAACGUCGCCACCGAAUACGUCCCUAUUUUGUCAUCCUCCUAUUAAACAUUCGGAUGACACCAUCUUGCAGAUGAAGGCCAUGAUCUGUGCCUCUACUUUAGUGUGAUAAACUCACUCCCCAGCCCCAGAAUUAGCUCACUGAAGCUACUGGAUUUCUCUACUUGUUGGCCUUUUCUCCCAAGUCUGCUGGCACAGAGACGCCAGCAACGGUGUGCUCGGGGGAGCUGUCACUUAUCUAAACAGCUGUGACUAAGGAAGAUUGGGGUUGGUAGAAGAAUCUUUAAGUGUAACGGAAAGAACUACAGCUGAAGCAACUUUACUUCUUAAGAACCAAAGACAGCAGCACCAGAGGAAACUAGCAUCUGCAAGGGAAGCAGCAAUUAACUAUCACUCUGCAGCUCUGGCAGAGAAGUCCGUGCAAGUCCGGUCCUUUUAGCUAUGCAUCACCCCCCCCCCCUUCCUUUUAUGAGAGUAUUCUAAGUUAAGAACAAAUUCAUUUCUGCUGGGCUGAGGAUUUGUAAUUUGUAGGAAAUUAGUGAAAUUUUCUGACUAGGAUCCCAGUUUGAUUUCCCACUGCCAAGGUUCCUGGAAUAUAGCUGAAGCUGUCAGCCCUCCCUUCUCAUUUCAAGGACUUCAGCCUUAAGAUUGAGUUUCUCUAAAGCCUCUUUGCUUGUCACACUCCUCUGGGGCGACUGAUUACCUACCACACCCUGAGGUAAUCUUAUCCCAGCAUCAUUGGUUUAGAUUCCUGAUAGAAGGUUUGAAUAAACAGAGCGAGAGAUUUUUACCUAAAUGAUUACACUGAAAUAAAAUCUUCUAGGGGUACGUUUUUGAGGUGUUACCUAUCGUAGUCCUAUGGGAGACUUGGCUCCUUAAAUUUUUACUUAUUUCCCCAAUCCUCAACCCCUGAAAUACGGAUAAACCAGUUUUUGUUUUUUGAGAGUACCAUUUUUACAACAAGACGCCCUUUAGGGCAUCCAGAGUCUCCACCAGCAGAAAUCGGAUUUGAGCGUCUUGGGGAGAGAACACCAGGCCUUGAAAUUAGAGAAAUGAAACUCUAAUUAGGGAGAACAAGAAAUAAAAAGCGCCAAUCACUCCAGACCGUGACCCUGACUUGAUUCGCGGGACGCGCAACAAAAAGUUCCCCCAAACCAGAUCCUCAGAUCCAAAAGCCGGAGUCCAGAAACCAGUGGAUCGAAAA